Molecule: ribosomal RNA, 393 nt
Filed under: uncultured bacterium
Lineage: Bacteria
Description: partial 16S ribosomal RNA
Rfam family: Bacterial small subunit ribosomal RNA
Source: RNAcentral
AUACGGAGGAUCCGAGCGUUAUCCGGAUUUAUUGGGUUUAAAGGGUGCGUAGGUGGUUUGAUAAGUCAGCGGUGAAAGUUUGCAGCUUAACUGUAAAAAUGCCGUUGAAACUGUCGGACUUGAGUGUAAAUGAGGUAGGCGGAAUGCGUGGUGUAGCGGUGAAAUGCAUAGAUAUCACGCAGAACUCCGAUUGCGAAGGCAGCGUACUAAGCUACAACUGACACUGAAGCACGAAAGCGUGGGGAUCAAACAGGAUUAGAUACCCUGGUAGGCCACGCAGUAAACGAUGAUUACUAGCUGUUUGCGAUACACAGUAAGCGGCACAGCGAAAGCGUUAAGUAAUCCACCUGGGGAGUACGCCGGCAACGGUGAAACUCAAAGGAAUUGACGGGG